UACAGAGGGGGCGAGCGUUGUUCGGAAUUACUGGGCGUAAAGGCGCGUAGGUGGCCUGCUAUGUCGAACGUGAAAUCCCUGGGCUCAACCCAGGAACUGCGUCCGAAACUGGCAGGCUCGAAUCCGGGAGAGGGAUGUGGAAUUCCAGGUGUAGCGGUGAAAUGCGUAGAUAUCUGGAGGAACACCGGUGGCGAAGGCGGUUCUCUGGGCCUUACCUGACGCUGAGGAGCGAAAGCGUGGGGAGCGAACAGG
RNAcentral lists this ribosomal RNA (252 nucleotides) under uncultured bacterium. RNAcentral describes it as "partial 16S ribosomal RNA". It matches the Rfam family "Bacterial small subunit ribosomal RNA", at positions 524 to 776 of the family's 1533-position model. The record is from RNAcentral.